This 350-nucleotide long non-coding RNA is filed under the name Glycine max (soybean). RNAcentral's name for it is "long non-coding RNA (GMAX_LNC001028)". The record is from RNAcentral. Lineage: Eukaryota; Viridiplantae; Streptophyta; Magnoliopsida; Fabales; Fabaceae.
CCACUCCAAGAAUUCUACCUUUGUUGUUGUCACCAUAUGUUACAUGCCCGCUUUUCUUUGGAGAUAUGUGUGUAAAAUUUGAUGCAUCUCCAGUCAUAUGUUUUGAGCAUCCGCUAUCUAUGUACCACUUCUUUCUCAAAGAUACCUCUUCAUCACUUUCGUAACUUUUUGCCAUAAGGCAAAGAUUUAUCUCUUCAUUUUCAGAAUCAUCAGAGGAUUCCAAAUCAUUUUCAUCCCAUGUGAUGUAUGCUUUCUUUAGUUUCUUCUCACUAUGAUUUUUCUUUUCAGAUUUUUCCAUCUUUUUCUUGAAGAUGGAACAAUCAACCCUCAGAUGUCCAGGUUGAUUGCAU